RNAcentral lists this ribosomal RNA (496 nucleotides) under uncultured bacterium. Its description in RNAcentral is "partial 16S ribosomal RNA". It matches the Rfam family "Bacterial small subunit ribosomal RNA", at positions 28 to 506 of the family's 1533-position model. The record is from RNAcentral.
GAUGAACGCUGGCGGCGUGCCUAAUACAUGCAAGUCGAGCGAACAGACGAGGAGCUUGCUCCUCUGACGUUAGCGGCGGACGGGUGAGUAACACGUGGAUAACCUACCUAUAAGACUGGGAUAACUUCGGGAAACCGGAGCUAAUACCGGAUAAUAUAUUGAACCGCAUGGUUCAAUAGUGAAAGACGGUUUUGCUGUCACUUAUAGAUGGAUCCGCGCCGCAUUAGCUAGUUGGUAAGGUAACGGCUUACCAAGGCAACGAUGCGUAGCCGACCUGAGAGGGUGAUCGGCCACACUGGAACUGAGACACGGUCCAGACUCCUACGGGAGGCAGCAGUAGGGAAUCUUCCGCAAUGGGCGAAAGCCUGACGGAGCAACGCGGCGGGAGUGAUGAAGGUCUUCGGAUCGUAAAACUCUGUUAUUAGGGAAGAACAAAUGUGUAAGUAACUAUGCACGUCUUGACGGGACCUAAUCAGAAAGCCACGGCGAACUACGU